GUCUAUGGCCAUGCCACCCUGAACAAGCCCGAUCCCGUCUGAUCUCAGAAGCUAAGCAGAGUCGGGCCUGGUUAAUACUUGGAUGGGAGACCACCUAGGAAGACCAGGUGCUAUAGGCA
RNAcentral lists this ribosomal RNA (119 nucleotides) under Pteropus alecto (black flying fox). The record is from RNAcentral. Lineage: Eukaryota; Metazoa; Chordata; Mammalia; Chiroptera; Pteropodidae.